This 804-nucleotide ribosomal RNA is filed under the name uncultured Microbacterium sp. Its description in RNAcentral is "bacterial SSU rRNA". It matches the Rfam family "Bacterial small subunit ribosomal RNA", at positions 1 to 834 of the family's 1533-position model. Lineage: Bacteria; Bacillati; Actinomycetota; Actinomycetes; Micrococcales; Microbacteriaceae. The record is from RNAcentral.
UAGAGUUUGAUCAUGGCUCAGGAUGAACGCUGGCGGCGUGCUUAACACAUGCAAGUCGAACGGUGAAAGCGGAGCUUGCUCUGCUGGAUCAGUGGCGAACGGGUGAGUAACACGUGAGCAACCUGCCCCGGACUCUGGGAUAACAGCUGGAAACAGCUGCUAAUACCGGAUACGAGCUGCGAAGGCAUCUUCAGCAGCUGGAAAGAAUUUCGGUCCGGGAUGGGCUCACGGCCUAUCAGCUAGUUGGUGAGGUAACGGCUCACCAAGGCGUCGACGGGUAGCCGGCCUGAGAGGGUGACCGGCCACACUGGGACUGAGACACGGCCCAGACUCCUACGGGAGGCAGCAGUGGGGAAUAUUGCACAAUGGGCGCAAGCCUGAUGCAGCAACGCCGCGUGAGGGACGACGGCCUUCGGGUUGUAAACCUCUUUUAGCAGGGAAGAAGCGAAAGUGACGGUACCUGCAGAAAAAGCGCCGGCUAACUACGUGCCAGCAGCCGCGGUAAUACGUAGGGCGCAAGCGUUAUCCGGAAUUAUUGGGCGUAAAGAGCUCGUAGCGGUCUGUCGCGUCUGCUGUGAAACCCGAGGCUCAACCUCGGGCCUGCAGUGGGUACGGGCAGACUAGAGUGCGGUAGGGGAGAUUGGAAUUCCUGGUGUAGCGGUGAAUGCGCAGAUAUCAGGAGGACACCGAUGGCGAAGGCAGAUCUCUGGGCCGUACUGACGCUGAGAGCGAAGGUGGGGAGCAACAGGCUUAGAUACCUGGUAGUCCCCCCGUAACGUUGGGAACUAGUUGGGGGACCAUUCA